RNAcentral lists this ribosomal RNA (253 nucleotides) under uncultured bacterium. RNAcentral describes it as "partial 16S ribosomal RNA". It matches the Rfam family "Bacterial small subunit ribosomal RNA", at positions 524 to 776 of the family's 1533-position model. The record is from RNAcentral.
UACGUAGGGGGCAAGCGUUGUCCGGAUUUAUUGGGCGUAAAGCGCGCGCAGGCGGUCCUUUAAGUCUGAUGUGAAAGCCCACGGCUCAACCGUGGAAGGUCAUUGGAAACUGGGGGACUUGAGUGCAGAAGAGGAAAGUGGAAUUCCAAGUGUAGCGGUGAAAUGCGUAGAGAUUUGGAGGAACACCAGUGGCGAAGGCGACUUUCUGGUCUGUAACUGACGCUGAGGCGCGAAAGCGUGGGGAGCAAACAGG